AUGGGAAAAAGUUAUAGAAAAUGAAGGAAAAUAUUUUGAUUAAGAUUUGCUCUCGUGAAAUGGUAAGAAAUGCGAUAUGCUCUAAAAAUUUGGAACAUGGGAUACCAUGCUACGAAAUCUGUCUCUCCGCGCAAAUAGAUUAUGAGAUGCAAAAACCUGUCAUAUGAAACUUCUCCUCUUUUGAAGAAAUAAUAUGUGUCAUCAAUGAGUUGAGCACGGUUAAUAACAUGAAUCUUCGUAUACUCCUUGGACAUUAGUUCACUAUGAUCCACCCAUCCUUAUCAGAAAGUGGAACAAAUAUUUCACUAUAUGGAUCCGGAAUUAUCCAUUUAUGAGGGGUUGUGUUAGUGAAGUCUAACUGCUGCCAUGUAGUGAAAGUGAUAGGUAUCAAAUGAGAUGGUGCUCGCUUGCGAUAGUAUCCGAUGUUAUAUUGUUCUUGAUCUUGAGAUAUUGCCAGCAGAUCGUCAGUUCGAUGAACAUGUAUAAGAGGAUAAUUACUUUCUGUUAUCCUUGUCGCCAUUACAUCUUUCAGGGCAGGAUCACCUAUUCCUAUUCCUCGAUCAGUAAUUUUAACUUGCAUAUCCCAUAAAUCCGUAGGAGACUCAACCUUGCUAAAUGGGUAGAAUUUUCAAUUUCGGAUAUUUAAAACUAUAAUAUAUUAUGUAUAAAGAUUGAAACAUGCACAGUUUGCACUACACACAUAUUCUAAUAACAUUAUAUAACAAGGAAAGAUAAUUGGUAAUUCAAUGUAAAGAGUAAAGUGCCAACUCAAACAUAGUUAUAAUACAACUUAAUUUGCAUGAAAUCCUACAGUUGAUAGUUGUAGUUUACAUUCUUCCGAAUCAAAAAAGAAUUGAGACAUCGAAAUCACACUAAAACUAUACCAUUGUGUUUAUUAUGUCACAUACUAUGUUACCUUGUUACUGUGUUACAAAAUGUUACUCACGUGUAGUUCUUGAUAAUCUCUUGAAACCGAUCCUUACCCAUAAUAUGUUGUGUCAUGCGCAAUAUGACAGGUGCUGUAAACAUUCAUGUAAGUGUAUAUAUAAACGACAAAUACAAAUUAGUAAAAUAUAAAUUUA
Ooceraea biroi (clonal raider ant) is the source of this 1082-nucleotide long non-coding RNA. RefSeq lists it as uncharacterized. The record is from RefSeq and is a predicted model, not a curated record. Lineage: Eukaryota; Metazoa; Arthropoda; Insecta; Hymenoptera; Formicidae.